UACUCACACAUGAGAUAGAGAGAGAGAGAGAGAGAGAGAGAGAGAGAGAGAGAGGAUUGAUGGCUGAAUUUGUUCAGCUGCUGAUGCAGAUGUUGUAUAGGUUCUUCCACAGAGUUGGGAGAUUCACCCUGCUCAAAUAUAAAGAAGAUAAAUUAGAAGUUAAUUAUGAAGAGGAAGAAGAAGAUGACAAGGUGGAAAUUUUAAGCCUACAGAGCAGAGAGAUUAAAGUGAGUCUGGCUUCAGCAACUCUUCCAACCCCAACGCCAUCACCAAGCCCUCAGACCGAAUAAAGAGUGAUGGACGGUCGAGAUCCUUUUGGAUCUUCUAUAUGCCGUGCUUUAUUUUCAAUUAGUGAGGUAAUUAAGGUAAUUAUUAUGUAUUAUGCAUAUUAUUUGCAUGAGGUUUAGUGGAGUUGGUGAUGAAGAAGGCCAUGAUGUGGUGAGUGAUGUAAUUAUCCUCUUUAGAGGUAUUUUAUUAUAAAAAAAAAAACUAUAUUAUAAGA
Molecule: long non-coding RNA, 502 nt
Organism: Phalaenopsis equestris
Lineage: Eukaryota; Viridiplantae; Streptophyta; Magnoliopsida; Asparagales; Orchidaceae
Exons: 3
Source: RefSeq, a predicted model, not a curated record